GUGACGAAGCGACGCCGCGUGUGGGAAGAAGGCCUUCGGGUUGUAAACCACUGUCGGGAGUUAGGAAAUGCAGGUGCGUUAAUAGCGCACUUGCUUGACUAAGGCUCCAGAGGAAGCCACGGCUAACUCUGUGCCAGCAGCCGCGGUAAUACAGAGGCGGCAAGCGUUGUUCGGAAUUAUUGGGCGUAAAGAGCACGUAGGCGGCCUUGCAAGUCAGUUGUGAAAGCCUUCCGCUUAACGGAAGAACGGCAUCUGAUACUACAGGGCUUGAGUACGGGAGGGGAGAGUGGAACUUCUGGUGGAGCGGUGAAAUGCGUAGAUAUCAGAAGGAACGCCGGCGGCGAAAGCGACUCUCUGGUCCGAAACUGACGCUGAGUGUGCGAAAGCUAGGGGAGCAAACGGGAUUAGAUACCCCGGUAGUUCUAGCCGUAAACGAU
Molecule: ribosomal RNA, 437 nt
Filed under: uncultured anaerobic ammonium-oxidizing bacterium
Lineage: Bacteria
Description: bacterial SSU rRNA
Rfam family: Bacterial small subunit ribosomal RNA
Source: RNAcentral